GUAUCUUUAGUCAAAGGAA
Molecule: non-coding RNA, 19 nt
Filed under: Arabidopsis thaliana (thale cress)
Lineage: Eukaryota; Viridiplantae; Streptophyta; Magnoliopsida; Brassicales; Brassicaceae
Source: RNAcentral